RNAcentral lists this ribosomal RNA (505 nucleotides) under uncultured bacterium. RNAcentral's name for it is "bacterial SSU rRNA". It matches the Rfam family "Bacterial small subunit ribosomal RNA", at positions 32 to 512 of the family's 1533-position model. The record is from RNAcentral.
AAUCAACGCUGGCGGCGUGCCUCAGACAUGCAAGUCGAACGCGAAAGUUCCCUUCGGGGAAUAAGUAGAGUGGCGCACGGGUGAGUAACACGUAGGUAAUCUACCUUCGGGUGGGGAAUAACCCAGGGAAACUUGGGCUAACACCGCAUGAUGCAGCGGCACCACAUGGUGACAGUUGUUAAAGCGGGGGAUUUUCGGACCUCGCGCCUGAAGAGGAGCCUGCGGCGGAUUAGCUAGUUGGUGAGGUAACGGCUCACCAAGGUGACGAUCCGUAGCCGGCCUGAGAGGGCGGUCGGCCACACUGACACUGACAUACGGGUCAGACUCCUACGGGAGGCAGCAGUCGGGAAUUUUGGGCAAUGGGCGAAAGCCUGACCCAGCAACGCCGCGUGAAGGNUAGAAAUCCCUCGGGAUGUAAACUUCGCAAGAAUGGGAAGAAUUAGCGAGCGCUAAUACCGCUCGUGAUGACGGUACAUUUGUAAGCUCCGGCUAACUCCGUGCCAGC